Molecule: ribosomal RNA, 253 nt
Filed under: uncultured prokaryote
Description: partial 16S ribosomal RNA
Rfam family: Bacterial small subunit ribosomal RNA
Source: RNAcentral
ACGUAGGGUGCGAGCGUUAAUCGGAAUUACUGGGCGUAAAGCGUGCGCAGGCGGUUGUGUAAGACAGGUGUGAAAUCCCCGGGCUUAACCUGGGAACUGCGCUUGUGACUGCACGGCUAGAGUGCGGCAGAGGGGGAUGGAAUUCCGCGUGUAGCAGUGAAAUGCGUAGAUAUGCGGAGGAACACCAAUGGCGAAGGCAAUCCCCUGGGCCUGCACUGACGCUCAUGCACGAAAGCGUGGGGAGCAAACAGGA